This 253-nucleotide ribosomal RNA is filed under the name uncultured bacterium. RNAcentral describes it as "partial 16S ribosomal RNA". It matches the Rfam family "Bacterial small subunit ribosomal RNA", at positions 524 to 776 of the family's 1533-position model. The record is from RNAcentral.
UACGUAGGUGGCAAGCGUUGUCCGGAAUUAUUGGGCGUAAAGCGCGCGCAGGUGGUUUCUUAAGUCUGGGGUGAAAUCCCACGGCUCAACCGUGGAACUGCCUUAGAUACUGACGGCCUCGAGGGAGAUAGAGGCGAGCGGAACUGUGAGUGGAGCGGUGAAGUGCGUUGAUAUUCACAGGAACUCCGGUGGCGAAGGCGGCUCGCUGGAUCUUUUCUGACGCUGAGGCGCGAAAGCUAGGGGAGCAAACGGG